This 253-nucleotide unclassified non-coding RNA is filed under the name uncultured Oceanospirillales bacterium. RNAcentral describes it as "contains 16S-23S intergenic spacer region". It matches the Rfam family "Bacterial small subunit ribosomal RNA", at positions 524 to 776 of the family's 1533-position model. Lineage: Bacteria; Pseudomonadati; Pseudomonadota; Gammaproteobacteria; Oceanospirillales. The record is from RNAcentral.
UACGGAAGGUGCGAGCGUUAAUCGGAAUAACUGGGCGUAAAGCGCGCGUAGGCGGUUGAGUCAGUCAGAUGUAAAAGCCCAGGGCUUAACCUGGGAACUGCACCUGAUACUGCUUAACUAGGGUACGGUAUAGGGCAGUAGAAUUUCCUGUGUAGCGGUGAAAUGCGUAGAUAUAGGAAGGAACACCAGUGGCGAAGGCGACUGCCUGGACUGAUACUAACACUGAGGUGCGAAAGCGUGGGUAGCAAACAGG